GUAACUAAGUCUUUUCUGCGUGCCCCUGCGGGCGUAGGGCUGGGGCUGGCCCGCGUCAGUGUGUUUGAAAAGGUAAAGGCUUGUAGUUUUGUAGUUUAUUUUGCGCCGUGGCGGCUGCUGUGUGUAAGCAGCAGCCUACCUAUGAGGUUUUCAUCGUCCUGGGCUUCCACUUGAGAGAACUCCAGCACCGCGGGUGAAGAAGCCGCACCUGCGGCCUCCGUGACUGCCCUUGAGCUGCUCUUCCUUACUCCGGAUGGAAAUCUAGUCAGACUGCGUCUGAACGUUGCAAAUGAAAUGAGGAACCUUGUAACAAAAACAAGUCGCGGCCGGGCGCGGUGGUUCACGCCUGUAAUCCCAGCACUUUGGGAGGCCGAGCCAGGCGGAUCACCUGAGGUCGGAGUUCGAGACCAGCCUGACCAACAAGGAGAAACCCCGUCUCUACUAAACAUACAAAAUUAGCCGGGCGCGGUGGCUCAUGCCUGUAAUCUAAGCACUUUAGGAGGCCGAGGCAGGCGGAUCACCUGAGAUCGUAGUUCGAGACCAGCCUGACCAACAUGGAGAAACCCCGUCUCUACUACAAAUACAAAAUUAGCCGGGCAUGGUGGCUCAUGCCUGUAAUGUAAUCCCAGCUACUCGGGAGGCCGAGGCAGGAGAAUCGCUUGAACCUGGGAGGCGGAGGUUGCGGUGAGCCGAGAUCGCGCCAUUGCACUCCAGCCUGGGCAACAAGAGCGGAAACUCCGUCUCAAAAACAACAACAACAACAACAACAACAACAAAAACCAAGUCGCAUCUUUCAGAUCCUAAAGCACCACGUCGUCGGAAAACAUUCAAAGGGUUGCCCGUUUGCUUGUGUGAAUUUUUCUUUUCCUUAAACUAUCAGGAGAAUCUCGAUUCUCCUGCAUUUAAUUAAUGCUGGGAUCACUUCAGCCACUUUAACCAGAAAUCGGCGAUAUCUAGACACCGCUUCUCUGAGGACACUUUGACAACGUGACAAAAGACAUUGCCAGUCUAAUGAUGGGGGUGGGGUGGAGGAGACAAAAGUACAGAUUCAGAUUUGCAUACUGAAAUCCUUAAUUGCACACAACUCGGCCCGCUUUAUUAGAGUUCGGGCGGAAGUGCGACACCGAGUCCUCCAAGGCUAACUGGAGGGUUAAAUUAUACGGUUACUAAUCCGCCGUGCUUGUCAAGGGCCUAAAGGGACUCUGCCCCUUUCUGCUGCAGUGCCAUCUGCUGGCUGCAGCCUGCUUGGUUACCCAGAGGGAAAACUGCCAAAGCAUCCUCUGGAAGCUGGCCUGGAAAGACAAGCCAAAGUCUAGUGCAGGACAGAUGCCUUGAGAAAAUAUACAUACAUGCAGAAAGAAAAAAAAAAAAAGACGGCGUAUAUACGGGACAAAACCUAGGACAAGGCCAGGCAGCCACUCAGAUUAUAUAUAUGUUUGCACAUUCACACACAGACAAAUUCCCCUGCCCAAAAGAACUGUUCAGGACCACUCAAAAACAAAACAGAACAAAAGCUCUAUUGUUUAGGCCUUCGAAUCCUUCAUCAACCAUUGUCUAAAACAGCAGCAGCUGGCCGGGCGCGGCUCACGCCUGUAAUCCCAGCACUUUGGGAGGCCGAGGCAGGCGGAUUACCUGAGGUCAGGAGUUCAAGACCACCCUGACCACAUGGUGAAACCCCGUCUCUACUUAAAAAAAAAAAAAGAAAAAAGAAAAAAAGAAAUACAGAAAUUAGCCUGGCAUGGUGGCGUGCGCCUGUAAUCCCAGCUACUCGGAAGGCAGAGGCAGGAGAAUAGCUUGAACCCGGGAGGGAGAGGUUGCAGUGAGCCGAGACAGCACCACUGCCCUCCAGCCUGGGCGACAGAGCGAGACUCCAUUUCAAAUAAUAAUAAUAAUAAUAAUAACUGCCCCCCUUUGGCCGGGCGCGGUUGCUCACGCCUGUAAUUCCAGCACUUUGGGAGGCCGAGGUGGGCGGAUCACCUGAGGUCGGGAGUUCGAGACCAGCCUGACCAACAUGGAGAAACCCCGUCUCUACUAAAAAUACAAAAGUAGCCGGGCAUGGUGGCACAUGCCUGUAAUCCCAGCUACUUGGGAGGCUGAGGCAGGAGAAUCGCUUGAACUGGGGAGGCAGAGGUUGCGGUGAGCUGAGAUCCUGCCAUAGCACGCUAGCCUGGGCAACAGUGAAACUACGUCUCAAAAAAAACAAAGAAAAGAAAAAAAAUUGCCCCUCUUGUAAUCCUACAGCCAUCACCUUAGUAAUUUUGCUAUAUCGGUAGUCUUUAAGUAUCAAUUAUGUCCUCACAACAAUGAAAACUUACAUUUUUAUAACAUUUUGACAUUUUCAAAGCAAACACACCUUGUCAUAUGAUCUUAUUUAACCCUCACAACUGCCUGAUUACCCCUGUUUUAGAAAUAAACCAAGGUUUAGGGUAAGGACUGCCAAGUAUUACACUGGCACAAUAAUUCCAGCCUUCUGAAAUCAGGACUAGAAAAUUUUCCUCCAUACCACACUGGUGUUUCCUUUGACAGCAACCACUACCUACUGAAUAAUGCCUAAGUCCUUAGCCUGCUACUCAAGGCCUUCCAAUAGUAUUUUCCACUGUUCCCUAUAUGGGCUUUAAGCUUUGUCUAUAAAGACUAUGUUCUUCAGUUACAGUCUUUGCUUUCUCAUUUUUGCUCAUGCCACUCACUUUUUAGAGAUAAUUUUUUCUCCCCAUUUUUUUUUAACUAGAUGAAAACCUCUUCAGUUUUUGUCAUACUCUGAAAGACAAGUCUUUCCUCUUCUGUCAUUCUCAGAGGUUAGAAUAAAAGUUAAUCAGCUGGGCGCAGGGGCUCACGCCUGUAAUCUCAACACUUUGGGAGGCCGAGGCGGGAGGAUCACCUGAGGUCGGGAGUUCGAGACCAGCCUGGCCAGCAUGGUGAAACCCCGUGUCUACUAAAAAUUCAAAAAAAUUAGCCGGGAGUGGUGGCAGGUGCCUGUAAUCCCAGCUACUCAGGAAGCUGAGGCGAAAGAAUCACUUGAACCUGGGAGACGGAUAUUGCAGUGAGCCGAGAUUGUGCCAUUGCACUCCAGCCUGGGCAACAGAGUGAGACUCCACCACAAAAAAAAAAAAAAAAAAAAAAAAAAAAAAAAGUUAAGCCCGGGCGCAAUGACUCACGCCUGUAAUCCCAGCACUUUGGGAGGCCAAGGUGGGCAGAUCACCUGAGGUCAGGAGUUCAAGACCAGCCUGGCCAACAUGGUGAAACCUUGUCUAAAAACACAAAACUAAAAACACAAAAAUUAGCCGGGCAUGGGGGCGUGAGCCUCCAAUCCCAGCUACUCAGGUGGCUAAGGCAGGAGGGAGAAUCGCUUCAGACUGGGAGGCGAAGGUUGCAGUGAGCCGAGAUUGUGCCACUGUACUCCAGCCUGGACAACAGAGUGAGACUCCCUCUCAAAAAAAAAAAAAAAAAGAAUAAAAUGUAAAGGCUGGGCAUGGUGGCUCACACCUGUAAUCCCAGCACUUUGGGAGACCGAGACAGGUGGAUCACUUG
RNAcentral lists this long non-coding RNA (3528 nucleotides) under Homo sapiens (human). Its description in RNAcentral is "non-protein coding lnc-TAF13-2:4". The record is from RNAcentral. Lineage: Eukaryota; Metazoa; Chordata; Mammalia; Primates; Hominidae.